This is a long non-coding RNA of Hibiscus syriacus, 605 nucleotides long. RefSeq lists it as uncharacterized. NCBI's taxonomy places the organism in Eukaryota, Viridiplantae, Streptophyta, Magnoliopsida, Malvales, Malvaceae. The transcript has 5 exons. The record is from RefSeq and is a predicted model, not a curated record.
CUCAGAAAAAUUCCCCCUCGUGUUUUGCCGCUCUUCUUCUCUUUGCCAUGGCUUCUGAUUCUUCUCCUGCUAAUUUUAACAACGAGGGUCGAAGAGUUUGAAUCACCCCAAAUACAAAACCAGGUAAAGCAACGAUCUCGCGUUUGGCGACUGCAGUUCAUGGUCAGCAAUUCCAGGCAGUUGAGAGAAAUGGCAGAUCUGCUAUGAAGAAUGACAGAUUCCCAGAUGAUUUGUUGGUUCUAUCAUGUGAAGAAGAUUGUGAAUUUUGUAUUCCUUUCCUCGAAAAAGUAUCUGUAGAUUGAUUUUUGGAGCGAGACUUGUUUAUUCUGAGAAAGAACUGGGGAAAAGUGAAAGGGAAGAACUGAAAUCAAAAUCCAACAACCAGCUGAGAAAAUCAUCAACAAUCCUCUUCUUACCUGUUACUGUAGCCCAUUUAUUUAAUCUUCAUAUCUGAGAGAAAUCAGUGAGUCUUGUCGUCGGAUGGGUGUUUCCUUUUCCUGCCCAUUUGCUAAAUGCAGUGAUGUGGAGAAUGGCUUAGAAUCCAUCACUGUGAAGUCCAUUAGCUUUGGUGAUGAUGGAGUCAGAACACCUCUUGGAUCCAUCAC